This is a long non-coding RNA of Triticum urartu, 1937 nucleotides long. RefSeq lists it as uncharacterized. The record is from RefSeq and is a predicted model, not a curated record. NCBI's taxonomy places the organism in Eukaryota, Viridiplantae, Streptophyta, Magnoliopsida, Poales, Poaceae.
UCUCUGUGGGCCUACCCAGCUCAUCGCCUUACCCCGUGAUCCUCAUCCACACGUUCUCACCUAAACUCCUCAUCAACAGUACCAGCACACCACUUUCUCUACAUCUCAUUUUCCUUCAAGUUUCGGUCAUGCUGGCCGCACGCAGAGGCGGAGCAAAGAAGAGCUCGAACGUAGGCCUCGUUGGUAAUUUGAGGCUGCAGCAGGAGCGCUCCAAACCGGCUCAUGCCGACGGCGCUCAUAGACAGGGCAGGCUGCGGGCAGACCCGACGAGGUAAAGCAGCAGAAAGAAACGACCGGCGCCUCAUGGUGACGGCGGUUCAGAGUUGAGACCACGGCUAUCGGCCAAGCCGGCAACAGCAGUGAAGGCAGGGCAUCGCAGCACAAUGGAAACAGCGCAGGCGACCCACAGGAGCGGCAGCAGGCAAAGGUUGCGCCAGGCAGUCCCUCGGCGGCGCUAGGCCGGCGGAUGAUGCGAGGGCGACACGGCAGUUCCGCUGAAGGUGGCAUGAGUCCGGUUCGAGGCUGCAUCAGCGGCGGUUUGAAAACAGAGCCACGGUGGUGGAGGCACGAGGCACCGGGCGGCCCAGUGGAAGGACGAGACGGCAGCGGUUUCGGAGCCGGAAACGACUCACAGCGGAGGAGAGGUUCGCGGCGGGUCAUGGCGACUCACGGUAAUAGUUGGGCAGGCCGGGUCACGGCGGCCGCGAGUCGACCGGGCCACUCGAAGUGAAGGGCGGAGGUCGAAACAGUGCUUGAGGUGCGCUGUGCUCGACGGCAGCGGGGCCGUGGAGGCAGAGCUAAACCGGCGGGCCAUCCGGUGGCGGUUCAAGAACUGCCGGUUUGGAGGCGGAGUCGCGCGGCGGGAAGGCGGAAUCGAGACUAGGCCGGGCUUGGCUCGGUGUUGGCCCUGAGCGAGGGACGGCCUGCGGCGGCAGGGUGGCUCGUGCCGCUGCUGGAAACGGGCGCGUACGACGGCGGCUCAACGCGGCAACUCAGGGUCGCGUGCGCAAGCUUACACGAAGGCGGCUGGGGGCAGCCACAGCGAAGCCGAAACGGCUUGGGUGCCGCGGCAACUACAGCGACUCGGAACGGAGUAGCCACAGAACAAAGGCAGACAUCGUGGGGACGGCGGCUCUCCGUGGCAACUCGGCAACGCGAGGGCGGUCUUGAAGCGGGUCGGCUUGGCAAGGCUGCGGCCGGAGCUAACCACGGCGGAGGAGGCGGCCGGCAGCUCGGGGCCGAGUAAUGAGAGGCGUAGCGCAGGGGGCUCAAGACGGUCCCCAGUAAGUAGAGGCGGAGCCGGUUUGAGGCGCGGCUGCGGCCAUGCAGUGGCGGUUCGAAGGUGACGCCGGCGAGGUGAAACGGCGUGACGAGGCUGCGGAGGCCUGACGGCUGUGAACCGGUGGAGGCGACAGCGUUUGAAGCCGCGGCCGGGCGAGGCAAUCUGUCGUAGCCUCGGGAACCAGACGAAGCGCGGGUGGCUCGCAGCGGAGAAGAAGCCGGCCCGGCAUGGUUUGAUGCUUGUCCGGUGUUAAGAGCGUGACGAGGCUGCAGAGCCUGUCCAGCGCAGCCGCCACUCGAAGUGGAUGCAAGCGGGGGCAUCUUGCGGGAUGCAGAGCGGAGAGAACCAACUCCAACGGCGGCUCGGAAUAAGCCAUGAAGGCAACUUGGAGUGGAGGAUGGCUCGGAACGGCACGGUGGCUCCCGCGCGGCGGAGACCAGGCGGCGAUCUGUUCAUGGAGUCGUCGGAGCCCCAAUCCGUCUCCGGGUUGUGACACCUUCUUUUUUUUUCUUUUUUUCAUUUUUUUGACUUGACUUUGUAUUAUUUUUGGGAGUACCUAGAACUCAUCUAGAUGAGAUAUAAUUUGGUCUCAUUCACUUAAAAAAUAAGAAUAUAUAACAUCUAGACGAGUUCUAGCAAAACUGAUUAUUUUUCU